UGAUUGCAGGUCUCGAACUAGCCAAAAGCUUGGGGGUAGAGGUGAUCGAAGCCAAGUGCGACUCCCUCCUUAUUGUAAACCAAGUUAAUGGGACGUUCGAGGUCAGAUAAGAACGAAUGCAAAGGUAACUGGAUAAGUUGUAGGUAAUGUUACAUCAGUUCAAAGAAUGGACUUUGCAACAUGUACCUCGGGAUCAAAAUAGUGAGGUCGAUGCCCUCUCUAAAUUAGGGUCAUCGGUCGAGGACGACGAGUUCAACUCAGGGGUAGUUGUACAACUUAUGAGAUAAGUAGUGGAAGAAGGUCAUGCCGAGAUUAACUCAACAAGCCUAACUUGGGACUGGAGAAGUAAAUAUAUAGAAUAUCUGAAGACCGGAAAACUGCCCUCGGAUACAAAAGAAUUGAGGGCCCUACAUACAAAGGCAGCUCGUUUAGCCUGUCCGAAGAUGGAACCCUGUUCAAAAGAAUAUUCGAUGGCCCACUCGCGAUAUGUCUAGGACCAGGGGAUACCGAAUAUGUUUUGAGGAAAAUCCACGAAGGCACUUGUGGAAAUCAUUCAGGCGCCGAAUCAUUAGUUCGAAAAAUGAUCAGAGUCAGCUACUACUGGAUCGAUAUGGAAAAGGACGCGAAGGAGUUCAUACAAAAAUGUGAUGAAUGUCAAAUACAUGCUCCGAUGAUUCAUCAACCCGAGGAGCUGUUGUAUUCGGUUUUGCCACCAUUGCCGUUCAUGAAAAGGGGAAUGGACAUCGUUGGCCCCCUUCCAUGGGCACCCGGUAAGGCUCAAUUUAUAUUAUUUGUGACUGACUAUUUUUCUAAGUGGGUGGAAGCCCAAGCAUAUGAGAAGGUCAGGGAGAAAGAAGUCAUCGAUUUCAUUUGGGACCACAUCAUAUGUCGGUUCAGAAUGCCAGCCGAGAUCGUGUGCGACAACAGGAAACAAUUCAUCGGCAGCAAAGUUAGCAAGUUUCUCGAAGAUCAUAAGAUUAAAAGGAUCCUAUCAACACCCUACCACCCUAGUGGGAACGAAAAGCAGAAUUGACCAACAAAACCAUACUCCAAAACCUCAAGAAGAGGUUGACUGACGCUAAAGAAAAAUGGAAUGAAGUCCUACCCGAAAUCUUAUGGGCAUACCGUACGACCUCAAAGUCUAGUACCGAGGCCACCCUGUUCUCACUGGUUUACGGUGUCGAAGCUCUAAUACCAGCCAAAGUCGGAGAACCAAGUCUCAGGUUCCGAUAUGCAACCAAGAAAUCAAACGAUGAGGCUCUGAACACGAGCCUAGAUCUAUUAGAUGAAAGGCGCAAAGCAGACUUUGUCAGGUUGGCCGCCCAAAAACAACGAAUCAAGAGAUAUUACAAUCGAAGGACCAACCUUUGACACUUCAAUGUCGAGGACUUAGUGUUAAGGAAGGUCACACUAAACACCCGGAACCCAAACGAAGGAAAGCAUGGGCUAAACUAGGAAGGACCUUAUCAAAUUAUCAAGAUCAUCGGUAAAGGAUCGUACAAGCUCGGAACAAUGAACGGUGAACAACUACCAAACAACUUGAACAUAACUCACUUGAAUAGAUACUACUAUUAAGGUACGACCCCAUUUCUUUCCUUUUAUUUAUUUACAUUCCGAACUAAUACUUGCAGGCAAUCAUCAAAGAAUGAUACAAUCUCUAGGCCUGAAAGCACACGUUAGACUCUUUUUCCCUUGAACCGGUUUUGUCCCAGAUGGGUUUUCCGGCAAGGUUUUUAAUGAGGCAACAGUAAAUCAUGCUAACUUAAAAUUGAAGGCCGGUUAUGAACCGGUAUCAACAAUAGUAUUCGAGGCCUCUCUACGCUCGGCCCCGAACAUUGGGGGCGUCAACCUCGGAUAACGACUUUAGCAAGGAAGGAAACUUUAUGAUUGAAUGGUUUCGGCUCGAUCGAUAGGAUUUACUGUAAGGGCCAAACAGUCAAAUGAACCAUGCCCGCAUAGACUACUCGAUCCCUAGCACAAAACUUGUACACAUGUGUAACUAUUAUGCACAAGAAUAAAAAGAAGUUUCUACCUUGCGGAUAAAUAUCUUGUCCCUUAAAAAAUUCUCUUUUUUCUUUUCCUCUUAAGGAAUUUCUUACAUUCGAUCCCCUAAAGGUAUCGAGCCCAAGGGACGCCUUUAUUCGGGUUCAAACUAUCACUCCCAAUCGGGGCUGCCAUCCAAAAAAAACUCGAAUGGCUCAGGCUAUCGGAACCCGGGGGCGCGAGACCUAUUAGACAGCGCCCGAACCUUAAAGGCUACGGCCAUCCCCACUCGAAAACUGUUAUCUUGGGCAAACCCAGAUAACUCGGGAUAACAAGCUCAAUGGGCAACACCCGAACUAAAGGCUACGACCAUAUUAAAAUUGCUCGGAGACGUCCGAGACCCGUAAAAAAAAAUAAGGCCUUCAAAAUUUCAUAACUAAUUCUAAAGGAUACCUUCGGCAAACUAUAAUCUAAAAAGUCAUAUAUACUUUGGGGAGAAAGGUUUCUGGUCAUACCGAAACCCCACGAUGCCAUAAACAAAAUAAUGUCUAAGGCAAGGCCUGUUCGAACUUCUGAACAUGACCUAACUAUUUUAUGCUAAGGCAUUUUGAUCUUUGCAAACAAAAAAAGAAUAAAGCAAAGGAAAGCAAAAUUCUUAAACCCUCGAAGGGAAAAACAAGCCUUGUAUAUUAUAUACAGUCUUGAUAAAGGUCAAAUGUCCUUAACAAAAAAUACAAAAGUACACAAGUACAAAAAACUAAAAAGCAAAAAUUUCUUCACAGAGCAUUGUCCAGGCUAGUCUUCGCGGAUACAAGUACCUGGCCGCAUUCACGAAGAGGAUUUCUGGGGCGAUGGCAGAUUUUCCUUCGUGAUCGUGAGGAGCUUUUCACAAUCACGAAAAAGGAUCGCUGGGCGGAAUCAUUUUUAAAAGUCAGGACUUAGGCUUUUUUUCUUCAUUUCUCACUUUUCUUGGCCAAAUUGGAGCUUCUUGGAGGAAUAUUUUAAUCUAGCAUUUUAAGGUAAGUGAUUUCUACCCAAUGAGAGUUUAAUACAUAGUGUAUGGAUAGAUGUUAGCAUAGAAAUUGUGUGAUUUUUUUGAAAAAGCUAGGGUUUAGUAAAAAUGGGAUUUGACCACGAAAUUGAGUAUGAAAUAAGGUAUAAAUUAUAUAUUUGAGUUCGUACGGUCAUGGGUAACAUUUAUCUACAAAUAUUUCCGGGAUCCCGGCACGUGGGCCCGAGGUGACUUUUAGGAACUUUCCGAAUUGGGUUGAAAAAUUACUCUAAUAGAUGAAUUAUGAACUUUUGAGUAUAUAUUGAUUAGUUUGUACGACUUUUGACUAGUUUCGGGUUGCUCGGCAUUAUUUUGAAGGCUAUUAUUGUGGUUUAAGGGCUGAGAAGAGGAAUUAGAAGCAAGGUAAGUCUCUUGCCUAAUCUUGUAAAAGGAAAUUAUCCCCAUAGGUGCUUUAAUUGUUAUGUGCUAUUUGUCGUGGAUGCUACGUACACACGAGGUGACGAGAGUCCGUACGUAGUUAAAAUCAUGUUUAUGUCCGGAUAGACUUAGGACUUUACCAUACAAUAUUUGUACUACUUGAGCUCAACCUGUUGGUUUAAUUACUAAAAUUUACAAUUGAAAUUUAAUUAGGGAUUAUGUUAGGCCAAGAUUCAUUUCCUUGAGUUUUUGGGAGAUACUUGAUUGUUGGUAAUAAUCAUGUUUUCUUUAUGUUCUCAUCCUUGGGUUGUAAUUUUUUGACCCGUAGUUGGAAAAGUUCAUCUAUUCCUGUAGAACGGGCCGUACGACUUCUGCAUUAUAUUUGAAAUACAUCCAUGGAUCAGAUCGUACGACUUCGGCAGUGUACAUAUUUAUUAGAGAUCGGUUUGUAUGUACGAGUUCGGCAUAAUUCGUGCGUAAUAUUGCUAGGAGUUAGAAUAUACAUGAUAUUUCCUCUUGACUUGAGAUUUUUUUAUUAUUGUUUUUAAGUAAAUAUACCACUCAGCUUGAUGCCUUGUGGUGAAUAUAUAAAUAAUAAUCCAAAAUAGGAAUCCAGUUUGUACAUAAAAAUUAAUUAAGCACAGAAAAAGGUAUAAAAAAGCAAUGUUCUAGCUAUUACAAAAGUUUUAAUUGGAUAGAUUCCAGCCAAAGGCGUAGUAUGUAUCCUGUAGCCCAUUGCAAAACCUCUAUGUAGCACCUCAAAUGCUCUCACCAGGCGCUAUGUUUUACGAACCAAAAAGGUUAGGCUAUCAUGAAUCUUCAACGUAGUCCUUGCAUAGCUUAGUCUGUCCAUUAAUCUGUUGAUGCGCGUAACCAAUUAUGAUACCUUUGUUUUUCUGUCGUGGCAUAUACCAUUUGCAUCUCAUGGCUGUUGUAUAUUCUAAAGAAAACACACCACCAUAAAAAGGUUGAACUCAUGUAUUGUUCCUUGUUGAUCACCGUCAGGAUAAUCAGCAGCCGAAGAAAAAUAAUGCUCCCUAGGCAAAUUGGUUGAACUGCAACUGAGACGGCAGUUAACAUGCUGGCCACAUUGCACUUGCAACCCUUAUUAGAACUUGUACAGAGUACCUGCAAAAUUGACAAACCAGUUAUUGCCAGAUGAGUUCUCAGUUUAUGAUUCUUGAUGUUGGCUUCAGUGAUAGGUCCUUGUGUGUAUUGGUAAAGAGUAUGUUAAGAGGUCAGCUGCUGCAAUAUUGAUCUUGGAUGUCCAGUUGUUUAGGAUAGAUAUUCCUGAAGAGUUGAAUAUGGACUGCUCCUUCUGUGGUUGAAGAAUUGUUUUGACUGAUGAUGUACAUUUCACUUAGCAUCUCUCUGGCAUUACGAGAAUUGUACCAUCAGUGAUCCUUUGAUUUCCAGUCUUGGAUAAGCUUGUUAGUGUUGUCAUAACUUGCUGCUUCUUUCUUGUGAAGAAGUAAUUGUGGUGAUUAUUGUGAAAUCUGCUCAAUUCGGAGCCUUUUUUUUGCAAUUCUAAUCCUUAGAUUAGGAGUUUGAGACUUGUCGAGGUUUAGUAGUUUCCGCCCUUCACUAGCCAUCUCUAUGAACGAGUGAAAUAUAGUUGAUCCUGCAAAAUUGAAAGCACUAUUAACUAUAUAAUCUGCCAUUGUAUUGCCUUCUCUAUAGACAUGUUAAAAUAUCACAUUAAAGUGUUCCCUCAGUUCCCUAAUCUUCUACACUUCUGCCCCUAUACACCAAGGUGUCACCCAUUGCCCUUCAAUGAUUUUUUCAAAACCAAAGAAUCUGUCUCCAAUAUCAAUGGAUGAAGGUCAUUCGUCACACAAUAUUCCAACCCUUAAAGUAUUGCUUUUGCUUUAGCUACAAUAUUAGUGGUCAUUCCUAUGUUAUCUGCCUUUGCAUACAUUAGAUCUCCUACUUCAUUUCUAACACAAAAAUCAAUUGAACUAGGCCCUGGGUUGCCCUUUGAUGCCCCAUCUGUAUUACAUUUAUACCAUCCUGCAUCUAGAGGCUGCCAAGUUACUCUUUUGGUGAGCAAUACAGGUUUUUAUGCUUCAAAGUAACGGAUCAUAUCUAGCCAUAACACAGGAAUGUGUAUUAACCAUGGAUACCUAACUCUUGCUAGGUAAUGAAUUGUCUUGUUGAUCUGAUGAAUGACUCGAAUAGUAGAGAUUGUUCCCCUAUUUUUUCUUGUAUUCUCUUUUUUUCCAUAGUUCCCAUGUAAUGACUGCUGGUGCUACUUGAAAGAGAGGUUUCAACUUUGGGCAGCAUUUUACAUUCCACCAUGCUCUAAUAACUUGCUUUAUUUAGACUAGUGGUACAAUAAUUCCAGCAGCUGCCAGAAAUGUUUUCCAUACUUUUGAUGUAGUGGAGCUUGUUAGAAAUAUGUGUUCAAGGGUCUCCUCCUGUGGAUGUUUGCAACACCAACAUCUGGAGACGUUAAUAUAUCCUUGCCUCCUCUAUAGGUUAUCAGAAGAUAACUUUUGCCUCCAUAAUCUCCACAAGAAGAAUGAUAUUUUGAAUGGCAAUCCUUUAGUCCACAUUUGUUUAUACUCUUGAUUAGGGGCUGCCCUGAGCCUCAGAAUUUGCCAAGCACUAUUAACUGUGAAUUUGCCUGAAGAUGUUGGCAUCCAGUAAGGUCUGUCCCAUAGUUCUUCAGUAUCAUCAAAAUGAACAUUUUGUAUAAUAUGGUCAGUGAUAUCUUCAGGAAAGCUUUGAUGUAUCAGUUGUUCAUUCCAUGCUCUUUCUUGCCUCAGUUGCACCAUGUCUUCCAGCUCUUCAUCUAUUGGAAAUUCUGGCGGUAGAACAUGAUAGAGUGAACCUAUUCCUAUCCAGUUUUCAUGCCAUAUGCUUGUUGUUCCACUCUUCAUCUCCCACAUGAUUUCAUGUUCUACUUCCUCCCUAGCAUUCAACAUUUGUUUCCAUACAUGGGAACCUUGUCGGAAUUGUACUGUUGUUGGCUGCUCUUUUUUGCCAUACUUGUUCCACAUGAAGUUUGACCAAAGUGAUUUUUUGUCCUAAAACUCCACCACAACUUAGCAAAUAGAGAUCUCUAAACAUCAUCUAAUGAUCUAAAUCCAAGGCCACCUUCUUCUAUAGUAAAACAUAGUUUCUGCCAACUUGCCCAAUGUCUACUAUGCCUUUCUUCCUUUGUACACCAAAAGAAUCUUGCAAAUAUUUUGUGUAAGUGUAUCAGGACAUUCUUAGGAGGGUCAAGAACAAAUAGUAUGUGUAUUGGCAUGCUUUGUAGGAUACUAGUUAUUAGUGUGGCCUUCCCUCCAUAUGAUAAGAGUUUGCCUUUCCAAGAAUGUAGUUUAGCCUUCACCUUUUUAAUAAGAUCUUCAUAGUAUCCCUUCCUUCUUCUAGUGUAGUAAAUUGGGCAUCCUAAGUAUGUGAAAGGAAAUUGGCCUCUUGUGAAGCCUGUGGUAUGACCAACAUCUUGAAAUAGCAUUUUGCAGUAUUGGCAUGCAUGAAGUAAGAGCAUUUGGCUCUGUUAAUCUGUUGUCUUGAGAUAUGUUCAUACCCUCUUAAUACUAUCAUGAUCUUGUUCAAGGAAGGUUGAUGUGCAAAUGUAAAAUUUAUGGUAUCAUCAGCGUAUGCCAAAUGGUUAAGUGGAUCAGUCCAUUUGGGCAUGCCAAAUCCCACAAAUGAUUUAUCAUCAAACAAUUUUUUCAACGAUCUUGAUAGUACUUCUGCUGCCAAAAUAAACAGUGCAGGAGAUAGUGGAUCUCCCUGCUUCACACCCCUGGUUGAUUUGAAAAAACCUGUUGAUUGCCCAUUAACCAACACUGAAUACCAGUUGUUGGCUAUUAGAUUCCAGACCAUGUUGAUAAAUUGCUCUGCAAACCCUAUUCUUCUCAGCACUUGCAUCAAAAAUAUCCAUGAGACUCUAUCAUAUGCUUUCGCCAUAUCAAGUUUAAUUACCACAUUCGCAGGUUUGCCUCGUAAUCUCAUGUCUGUUACUAUUUUUUGUGUAAGUAGUAUGUUCUCAAAGAUGCUCCUCCUUUUAACAAAACCUGAUUGAUUAGGUGAAAUGUAAGCAGGCAGUAGCUUCUCCAAUCUAUUAAGAAUGCACCUCGAUAGGACCUUGUUGAUGAAAUUACUCAAGUUGAUAGGUCUUAGGUCUGUAAAAGAUUCUGGACUAAUCUUCUUUGGCAGUAGAACUAGAUUUGUGUGAGUAAUUAACUUUGGCAAGCUUGAUCCUCCAAAGAAUUUCAGAACCAUGUUAUGUAUGUCAUGGCUGAUGACUUCCCAGCAAACUUUAUAAAACCUUCCAUUGAAUCCAUCUGGACCACUGGAGUUGUCUCCACUAAGUUCGAACACUGCUGCCUUUACUUCCUCCAAUGUUGGAUAUCUAUAUAGCUCAAUAUUCUGCUCCACGGACACCAUAGCCGGUACAUUAUCUAGCAUUGUAAAAUUAGUGGGGUCCCCUUGUUUAGUGAAAUGUUUCUGGAAAUAUUCAACAGCAGCAUUGGAGAUUUGAUCCUGAUCUUCUAACCAAUUCCCAGCUUCACCUUUUAUUCUUUUCAGCUGUAACUUCUUCCUCUUUCCUUUGACAUGGUUGUGGAAGAAGUUAGUGUUUCUAUCUCCCUCCGCAAACCAUGCCAUUCCAGCUUUUUGUUUCCAGUAGUGCUCCUCAAAACUCAGGUAUUUCUUUAGUUCUGAUUGAGUUUUCUGUAGGAUUACUCUGUUUGCAAUUGUUGGUUCCUCUUCGAACAACAUUUCUUUGACCUUUACAAUGUCCUCUACUAUUGCCAAUUGUUUGAAUAUAUCCUCAAACGUAUCUCCACUCCAUUUUGAAAGUGAUGUCUUAACAUUCUUCAGCUUAUGUUUGAAUACAAGAAAUGGGUCUCCAAUGAAAUUUGCAUUCCAGUUCUGUUUUACUGCUUCCAAGAAAGUAUCAUGAUUUGUCCAGAAGUUCAAGAACCUGAAUGGUUUGGGCAAUUUUGUGUUUUGUUUUCCAGUAUUCAUUAGUUAAAUAUUUACUUGAACUAACAGGUUGAGCUCAAGUAUUACAAAUAUUGCAUGAGAUUUGAUAUUUGAUUGUAAAUUUUAGUUGAAAAAAUUUCAGAUAGUACAUGAUAUUUGGGGAUUUUAUAUUGUCAUUAUGUUGAGGGGUCAUGUUACUUACGGUCUUUCUUAUUCCAUUAUUUUUGUUGUGCUUCAUGCCUAUUGAUAAUUCAUGUAUUUUAUUUAUUAACCAGUAGUAAGUGUCGAGGUUGAUCCCUCGUCACUACUUCUUUGAAGUUAGACUAGAUACUUACUAAGUACGCAUUGAUUUACAUACUCAUACUAUACUUUUGUACUAAUUGUGUAGGUACUGAGGCAGGUACAUCUUGUAGAUACUCGGGCGUGCAUCCCCGUUAUCCGGAGACUCAGUGGUGAGUUGUUCACCAUGCUCCGAUCUGCAGCACCCGGAGUCUCCUUCCUGUUAUAUUUUCAUUUCAGCCUAUUUCAUUUCAGACAGUAGCUAUGGUGGUUUGUAAAUUCUACUAGAUUGCUUUUGCACUUGUGACACCGGAUUUUGAAAAAAUUUUAUAGAUGUUUAUGGUUUUUGCCUAAUAUCGUCACUAUUUUAUUUUUUAUGUUUUAUUUAUGUUGUAUAUGUCCAUGGUCUUCUAUGCCUACUUUCUUUAAUUUAAUAAAACCCAUGAUUUCAGAAGCAAUAAAAUGAAUAAUUAAGUUGAUAGUUCACAUUGAUUUGCCUAACGGCGACGUUGGGCGCCAUCACGGCCGAUAGUAGGAAUUAGGUUAUGACAGCUGCCAUAUCACAAACAACUUCUAAGCAUUCUUGUGGCUAUUCUUUCAUUUAGUUCUUAACGUCAUCUAUACAACCAACUCAUAACAAGCAUAAUAACAACAACAUCAUCAUAAUCAAGUUAUUUUCUUUAAUUUCCAGUCAUAGGAAGCCUUAUACAUAGCCUCAAAACAGUCCAAUAGAAGGACAGCAACAAGAUUCUCCAUAUCAAGUUUAACUCUAAGGCAACUAGUAACAUAUCAAGCAACUAGCUCAUUUUAGGGAAAACUUGACAGCAUCUCCCCCUCUUUUCUAACUUUCCCAAGUUCAUAGUAAUAACUAGAAACAUAUAUAACCGUUAACCAUAGAUUUACAACAUCACAAUCAACUUUAACAACCCACCAAUACAAUACAAAAGUACUUCAACCGAUUUUCGAGUAUCUUCUAUAUUUUUUUAUCUAACGAACACUACCACGACCAAACAAGGUUAGGCACAAGUAGAAUGAGAAUAACUUGUCCAGCAAAGCUUUCUCCAAACAAACAAAUGACAAUAACAUGAUAGAAGCGCUCUCUGCUACCUUUACGGGGUGCUUGAUGUUAGAUUUAGGUAGUUUAUCUUAGAAAUCACCCCUAAACCUUUAAAAUCUCUUAGAGAGACUUUGGAGAGAUAUGGGGUGUGCUCUGGUCUAAACAAUGAGAGAGAUAAGGGCUUCUCCCAUUUUUAUUAUAACAAAAAGAUAAGCUUUCACCGCCUAGGUGGGUCCCAUAGGGGCUGUCUGCGCAGUCUCGCGAUAAUGUGAAUAUCUCCCUACUCAGAUAUCGUAUUGAAAAAUGAUUUACUGAGUUAAAAAUUAGACUCGUAGAUCUUCAAUUUGGUUGGUGGAUCACCUCACAAAUCCAUGUAUAUUAAGAGAAAAGCUCAGUGACAUUAGACCUAAGUUUCAGUAAAAUUAUGAACGUAUUUUGCUGCAACUUUUGUCGACUUUUGUUUUACAACUUGUUUGACUUCAAAACUUAAUAUAAGAAUAUUAUAAGACUCAAGUACCUUAAAACACGACCUUCUUAGAAUAUUAAUUACUCCUAUUUCUAUCUCAAAAGUACGGGUUAUAACAUCAUUCGUUUAGCCUCCAACCCUCACGAUACUUCUAUAACACAUGUGUUAACUCAUCAUCUCUUUGUAAAGGUCCUUAAACUCCCCGGAUUAUAUUGAUUCACUUAAGACGCAUUCUAACAUGAAAGUAUAUGGUGUAAUAUAUCAGUCCCACAGCCUAUUUAUCCAGCAUGAAUAAUACAAGAGGGGUAAAAACGAAAAUAUAUUUUUUUCUUAACUUUGUGGAGCUUGAGCACUCCCUUAUGUAUGGGAGAUGUUGGAAUAUUACUAUUGAGUUCGGUCCACCCAUAAGGGGUGCGAAUUGGCUUAUUAACCCAUUAGCUUAUUCUCCUUCUAAACCCUACUUAUACCUUAUAUACACCAUUAUGAGUAUUUGAAAAGAUAUGUUUUUUCCAUCUAUAUAUGACAAUUAGGGUUUUUAUGAGAAACUUGUCUCUGCAUUUUGGAAAGGAUUAGUAGGCUGUGGACAAAGGGUUUCAUCCGCUUUGCAAGGAUUCUCGACAACCAAUGAUACAAGUUGUGAUUAUUGCAGAUCCAUUUUCAUUAAAGAAAAACUUGUAAGUCUUCUAAACUAGUAUUACAUUGACCUGAAACCCACAUUCACACUUGUCAACAUAAAGAAUGCCUCACACAACUUUCGUUGGUUGUGUCCCACACCAAAUAAAAUUUCUUCCAACAACCUCAUACAAGGUUUCAUAUAGGAAAGAUCGAUAGAGACAGAGAAAAGGCUUCCAAAAUAGAAUAGGAACGAAAGAAAAGGAGAAAUGUUCUCUUCAAUUAACAACGCUAAAAGAUCAUACCAAUGUGUCGUAGCAUAAUCAUUCACUUGUAGAAUGGUAGGUACACUCACCUUUCUUGUAAAUGACAAAAUAAAUAAUUCUAGAGACUUACUAUAUUAUAAGUGAAGCUUGGUACGACAAAGGGCAAAGUGGUAAAUCACUCUGACUUGUAGAUUUACAGGUGUCCUAUUGUAUAUACCACAUUGCUUUAAUUUUGGUCCAUCCUUUUGGUUUAUUCUCUCCCAUCGAUGAAAGCAACUAUUUUCAGAGCUCUUCAUUCUCAUCUCUCUCUUCAUGGUAAGUUCUUCUUCUUCCUUUUUUCGAGUUGGAGGGGAAGCUGAGGGUUAUGGGGGCCUGGAGGAGUAGUGGGGACACAAGUUAUAUGUGGUCGAUGACGACGAACUAUAUUAGGGAGGUUGCGAGGGAGGUGUUAGGGGUCUUAAAGGGUUACUUUGGCGGGCACAGAGGAGAUUGAUGGUAGAAUGAAGAGGUUCAAGAAAAAGUGAAAGCAAAGAAAGUGGCAUACUUGAAUUUAGUGGAGAGUACAGACGAGGGGGAGAGAAGAGAGAACAAAGCAAGGUAUAAGAAUGCUAGGAAGGAGGCGAAGCUAGCGGUCAAUGAUGCCAAGAAUGCAGCGUUUAGUCGUUUGUAUGAAGAGUUGGGGGACAAAGGCGGGGACAAGAAGUUAUUUUGGUUUGCCAAGGCGAGAGAGAGAAAGGGUCGUGAUCUGGAUCAAGUAAGGUGCAUCAAAGACGAGGAAGGCAGAGUCUUAAUGGAUGAGGCUAUGAUUAAAAGGAUAUGGCAGACUUACUUUCAUAAACUUCUGAAUGAAAAAGGGGACAGAGACAUUGUGUUCGGUGAUUUGGAGCACUUUGAGAGUCGUCAUGUUUUUAGGUACUGUAGGCACAUUAAGGUUAAGGAGGUCGUGGGAGCUAUGCGUACGUUGAACAGGAGCAGAGCGACUGGGCCGGACGAGAUACCGGUUGAAUUUUGGAGGUAUGUCGGUAUAGAGGGCCUGAAGUGGCUGACCGAGCUGUUCAAUGUUAUUUUUAAGACGGAGAAGAAUGUUUUCUUGUUGGGAAGAGUUAGAAAUGGUUCCUCUUAGGAAUACUCAGCUGCAGAAGCCAUGGCUUUCCAUUUUCUUAAUGUUUCGUCAAUCUGAUCGUGUAGGCGAGCUUUCAGAUCUUGAAGUUUCUUAUUCUAUUGGUACUCCUCUUUAUUACAAUCAUCAACUGAAGUAGAUACACAAUUUAAUGAUGAUGCAAAAGCCAGAUUAUAUUUCGAGUCUAUAAUAUUCAUUUUUCUUUGAUAGACAGUUAUUGGUUGGGAUGAAAAUUGCAAACCACUACUUAGUCUUCAACUUCAGGUAUCUAUCGAGGAGGAAAACUCACGCAUGCAUAUAUAUCACCAACCAUCCAGUAAUGUACAAAAGAGUUGACCUGCAUGUACAAAAUCGAGCCAGAACUGCCUGAAAGAAAAAUAAAACUAAAUAUACUCUUCAAUUCCAAAACUAGGAAUCAUUGAAACAAAUAAAGAAGGAAGAGAAACCCAAAAACCUCUUAUAUAGUGUAGGCAGUGGAGAUAAAGUUGAAACUAAAUGGGUAAUUUUUUAAACAAAAAGCAAUAAACCAGAAGCGAAGGCCCCAAAGCAGGAAGAUCCGGAAAAAAUGCAGAGGAUGAGAAAGAAAGUGUUAGUUUUUUAUGGCCAGGUUAAUUAUCCUUCAAAUUUUAAUGUAGUCAAAAUAAUUGAUUUUAUAUUAAUAUUUUUAGAUGAUCAUUAUUUUAGCUGUAACAGUUGAUUCGUACAGUUGAUUCGUACAACAUGGAAUUGAUGUGCCUCGACAGGAGCAGUGGGGUACUUUUUGUUGGUUGUUUCAGGUCUCGAAGGCGAUAUGGGUCCAAUUAGUUUAUAUAAAAUAAAAAAGAAAAUAAUUCUUGUUCCCUUUUUAAUGCUGGAUAAUAUCGAGAACAGAUAUUUAUUGGUAAUUGAGCUUAGACCUACACAAUUAGAUAUCAAAAUAACCGAAAAUGAGUACUAAACUAAGUAUUAGAUGGUUAACAAUCAAACUUUUUAUCACUCAUUAUUAAUGUUUUUAAGUAAGAAACAGAAAUGCUUGAAACAAGAGAGCGGUAGGGCACACGUAAGGGUGUACCAAUAAAAUCGACAAAUCGCACUAACCCUAUAAUUCGAGUCAAACCGAAAAAAAAUGACUAUGAUUUGGUUUGGUGUUGGAAAAAAAACCCGAUCAUAUUUGGUUUGGUUUGGUUUGGUUUGGUUUUAACUAAAAAAAGUCAAAUCGAAACCAAACUAUGCCGACAUUAUAUGUAUAAAAGUUUUAAAUAUAUUUAAUACAUAAAAAUAUUUACUGUAGUGUAGUUUAUAAAUAUUUCUUAAGCUUUUUUCAUAGUUUUAUCUUUUAAUUUAUUAUUUCAAGUUUGGGCUUAUAAUUUUUGGAUGCUCCAACAUGUUUUAUACUCCAUAAAUGUUAGUAACUCAAAUAAAUCCUAAACCAAAAUCAAAUCAAUACUAAUGCUAAUAAAAUAUUCAACUCAAUUGUACUAUGAAUGAAAAUAGUAUUGGAUAUCUAUUUUUUAGUUUUUCCAUGGUUUAGAUAAAAUGUACUAUAACUUAUUUUUCUUGUAGUGGUUAGUCAUGUAAAUAAUAGUACUUAUUAGUCGUAAUUUAAAAUUAUGUUUGUUUUCAUUAUGANNNNNNNNNNNNNNNNNNNNNNNNNNNNNNNNNNNNNNNNNNNNNNNNNNNNNNNNNNNNNNNNNNNNNNNNNNNNNNNNNNNNNNNNNNNNNNNNNNNNNNNNNNNNNNNNNNNNNNNNNNNNNNNNNNNNNNNNNNNNNNNNNNNNNNNNNNNNNNNNNNNNNNNNNNNNNNNNNNNNNNNNNNNNNNNNNNNNNNNNNNNNNNNNNNNNNNNNNNNNNNNNNNNNNNNNNNNNNNNNNNNNNNNNNNNNNNNNNNNNGUACAAUGUCAUGACUCAUCUCAUAUUUAUGUUAUUUUAUUGAAAAACAACUUAUAUAGUUAUGUCUUACUAGGAUAAAAGAAAUAUUUGGAGUACAAAUUUUACGUUUUGUGAUAUGAAGACUUUAUGAAAAAAAAAACCGAAAAAACCCAAAAACCCAAACAACCCGAGAUUAAAAAACCUGACUUUUACUGGUUUGGUUUGGUAUUUAGAUUUGAUAACCCGAUACAAUUGGUUUGGUUUGGUAAUUAAAAAAUCCGAACCAACCGGGCCUAUGUCAGGCACAUGUAGGGCACUAAAUACAGCAAGAGUUCAGGAUUUAGCCUCCUAAAUAUAGACUUACAAAUGCAUGAUAAUAUCAUAACAAAACCUUUGUAAUAUCUCGAGUAAGAGUUGAUUUUUCACGAUUCUUUUACAUGAUCCACAGUUCAGAUGGUUCCAGCAUUUAUGAGUUCAAGUGGUUAUGGCUCUUGCUCAAUCCGUAUAGCUAUGAAGUAAAUCAAUUUAUUAUAACACAUUUUGCUGUCAAUACAUUAUUGAUACAAGUUAAACUGUUAAAAAGUACUUCCUUUCUGAAAUAGUGUAGAGAAACCCAUCUUUGUUUUGCUUUGCUAGCUUGAGUGUUGAAUAUCUUUUAAUGCCUUUUUCUGAUAGAUCAUGACAUUGUGAUAGGCACCAUUUAUACAGGAAUGAUCUUUUGUGCACUUACUGGUCAGGGUCAUGCUUAACAGUUCAAUGAGAUCAUUUCAGGUUAUUUCUAUGUUGGAAAGGAUUAAAGUGAAAGGAAGUCACUCUUGAUUGAAUGUGUAUUAUGAAUCAUCACAUCAAUGACCGAGCCACUUUCUCUUAUAGAUAUUGUUUAUGCGACGUAGUAUCUAAACAACAGACUUGGAAUAGGAUAAAAAUACAUUUCACUAUGGUAAAUAUUUUAGUUACUGAAAUUUUAUGGUCUUUAGGGUACUUGAAUUAUGCCUUUGUAUUCUCACUGAGUAAUAUUGGUCAGCAUUGAGUUGUAGAAACUAAGUAGUAUUCCGACUACCUUUCCAAUGACUGGCGCUCAUAAGCUAAACUUAUGAAUUUUAUUUACAAGCUUAAUAUUUUGUACAUAGCAUUUUGAUAUCAAUUCAUUUGCCGGUGAAGGAAACAUUGAAUAUGUAUUAAUAAUUUGGUAAAUUCGAAUUAGUGAAGCAUACUGUUAAGCAUCGCCGGUAUAAAUUGGAACAGUAUCUCUUCUUGCAUUUCUUGUAUUUGGCAUUAAUUAAUGUUCUUUUUAUGAUGCAUAUUGUCUUUUCAUAUAGUUUAUUUUUAUUUUCCUUUCUUUCCUUGAUGUAGUUGUUUAAAUUGGUACCUUACAUUAUAUGGCUAUUGGCAUUUGAUCAUUUCUUCAUAAUUCUACCGCUGUCAAUAUUUUUGUCACAGAAGACUAUUCACGUGAUGGAAAAUGCCACCCUUGUUGUCGAUAUGUAAACAGUAUAAUGUAACUCUCAUGGAAGCAGGUUGAAGAACAUGUUGUGUUGUAGAUACAUAUCUCAUAUGUUUUGCAGUUCUGUUUUUCAAAAUAAUGUACAUAUCAUGUAGCGUUAAUACACUGCUAACUUUUAGCUAACUUGAUAGUCUUACUACUUCCUUUCCCGGUAAUGCUGCUAGACAAUUAAAUCAAGUAUGAAAUUAUGUUCUCCAUGUUAAAACUUUUAGCUAAUCUUAUAGUUGUGUAAAUAACACAAACAAAGAUGUCACGACGUGUCAAGCAUACGGGCCAUCUAGUUAAAAGAAAAAGAGAAACUUCUUUGCUUUAUUGCUUAGUCUCAGCAUUCAUCAAACUCUAAUACACUUUGUUUUGAUACAUCAAGCUCUCAUACAUUUUCACUCUUCCAGUAUGAACACAAGGUAAAUGUAACAUAUCCUCAAGAUUUAAAAGAAAAAAUAUUAGUACAGCGAUUCAUAAUUUAAGUAAAAGAAGAAAUUUUGUCAACAUAGCAACUUAAGCAUUCUACAUAUUUAGUAACUUAAUGAGCUUUGAGAUCCAAGCCUCCUCUUUCUGAGGCGUUCAGCGAUAAUAAAGGCGAGUUCAAGGGAUUGAGAUGCAUUGAGUCUAGGAUCGCAGUGGGUGUGAUAGCGUGAGCUCAGAUCAUCGAAAGUCACGGUCCUUGAUCCACCAAUGCACUCUGUUACAUUUUGGCCGGUCAUCUCUAGGUGAACUCCUCCUGGAUGGCUUCCUUCUUGCUCAUGCACGUCAAAGAAUGCUCUCACUUCAGCCUGUUCCCAAGAAGAGUGCAAUGUAAGACGUGUGCUUUAUUGUCAAUGUUGUAAUGUGAGGGUUAAAACUUCAUCCAAAAGCUCUAACAAAAGAAUACAAUAUUCUUAACUGUUAAGACAUGUAAGUUGAUGUAAACUUUCAAUCAUUUUUAAGACAAUUAUACUGUUACAAUAUCGAGCGUCAUUGAAAAAAAAGGAAAUCUACCUAAAAGACUGGAUCUCAAAAAUAAUCCUUGUGGAAAGAGACAGACAACCACCAACCUAGCUGAGAUAUAUUUAAAUCCACCAUAUGACAGCUUAAGAAACAUACUUUUGACUGAACACACCCUUCCAAAUUCAGUUUUACAUUCUCUUACCUACCCAUAUAUCUCUCAUACAUUCUUUGCCCUAGUCUAGCAAAGAAAAAGCAGCUACUCUUUCUAUGAACAACUAAUAUUCCCAUCAUGAAAGAUGGUCCCCCCGCGAAUUAACACAAUCAUUCAGCUUGUCAAAUUAUAUGGUCCAAAGAAACGGACUUUUUCAGCUGCUCGGUCUAUAACUGCUGGUACCUUUCCUAUUGGCUGUAGAAGUGAAUUCUAAGUGUGGUCCUUCCUUAAAUAUGAAUAGGCACCACCAUAAAGGAGAUGAUUAAGAUCAAAGUAUAGGAAGUAUGCAAUUACUUGAAGGCAGCAAAUUUUGUGAAUUCAAAUUGUCUUUCCAGUAUAACCUCGGGUCUCACCAUCCUAAAGGGUAUGUAUGAUAUAACGAGUCAGGAAAUUCUGAAGGAGGUAUGAGAACUUACCCUGAUGGCAUCAAAAGGUCGAGUUUUCAGACCACAAGGUGCUUUAAUGGUAUUUCCAUGCAUAGGAUCAGAUACCCAUGUAACAAUUUGCCCAGCUCUUCUCACUGCCCUUAUUAGAUGAGGAAGCUUAACCCUCAUGUUCUCUGCUCCCAUUCUGGUAAUUAUUGUAAUCCUUCCUGGUUUGUUGUUAGGGUUCAGAAUGUCAAUGAGCUUAACUAACUCAUUUGGAUCCAUCUUGUCACUCACCUGCAGCAUAUAUUUUCUGUUAGCCUCAAAUUUUGUUACCAAUUCAAUAUGAUCUGCACAUUUGCCAUAUUCAUAAAUGCAAUCACGAAAAGACUCAAAGUAAAGCAAUGCACUCACCUUUAUACCAAGGGGGUUGGCAAUUCCUCUCAAGAACUCAACAUGGGCACCAUCCAAUUGUCUGGUUCUCUCCCCAGCCCAAAGAAAAUGGGCAGAGCAAUCAUAGUAAAGGCCAGAAGUUGAAUCCAAUCUUGUAAGUGACUGCUCAUACGGCAAAAGUAAGCACUCGUGAGACGUCCAAAACUCGGUGGUUUUCAUGAUAGGAUGGUCCGUUGUAAGUCCAGCAGCAGCCAUGAAACCAAGGGCCUCAUCCACUCUAUGAGCUAAUUCACGAUACCUGCCAAUUUAAAAAAGAAAAGAAACAUUAUUAGCCCAUAAUUGCAACAUUAUAUAAAAGCCGACGGAAAAUCCCUCUCGUAAUAAAUUUUUGGAACAGUCUAGAUAGUAUCCCUAUAGAGGUCCGGAAGUGUCUUGGGGAGGUUGGAGUUGGAGUAGUAUGGCUCACCAAGCUAUUUAAUGCCAUACUAAGAAGUGGUAGGAUGACCGAAGAGCGGAGGAAUAGUACCUUGAUUUCAAUUUAUAAGAACAAAGGAGAUUUUAAAGUUGUGCGAACUAUCGUGGCAUUUAACUCAUGAGUCAUACAAUAAAACUCUGGGAAAGAGUGAUAAAGCAUAGACUUAGGAACACGACAAGAUAGACUGAGAAUCAGUUUGGAUUUAUGCCCGGUAGAUCUACAACGCAACGCAGGCUAUAUUCUUGCUAAGAAGAUUGAUGAAAAUUUAAAGCCAAACGAAGAAAAAUCAACACAUAAUGUUCAUUGACCUAGAGAAAGCAUAGACCACGGACGACCCUAAAGAUAGGACACAAUAGAAGCAGAUAGGGCACAAUAGAAGCGGAAAAUUCAUAUAAGUGAUAUCUACUAGUUGAGAAUAGAUUUUAGACUUGGUAGAGAAGUUAUAUUACAAUUAUUAUUAUUACUAUUAUUUAUAUAUGUAUUUAUCUUUUUUUACUUGCACUUUCAUUUUACUUUGAUAAUGAUGAAGAUAUGAGUUGAGCUAAAAUUGAGGAUUCAAACAACAAAUAGCAACAAAAAUUUCCAACAAUAUUCACCAAGAUGGAACAUACCGAUCACCCUGCUCACUGUGCUCUGUAAAAUCUAAGUUCCAUUGGUUGAUUCUCUGCAUGGCAGCAUAUCCUCCUUUAGCAAAGGCCCUCAAGAGAUUCAAAGUAGCUGCAGAUUGACAAUAGGCCCUGAUCAUCCUUUGAGGGUCCGGAAUUCUGGAUUUCUCAUCAAAUGCAUCUCCAUUCACAUUAUCUCCCCUGUAACUUGGCAGCUUUACUCCAUCUUUCUCUUCAAAUGGGUCUGAUCUAGGCUUUGCAAAUUGCCCAGCCAUUCUUCCAACCUAUUUAGAUCAAAUUUGAAAAUGGAUAUCAAUACAGUUGACAUAUGCCAAAAGAAGGAAUUUAUCUACUCAUUAAGUUUUCCAUCAGAUAAGAGAAUACUCAUGAGUCAUGACUAAAAAAAUAAAUACCCAUUUCCAGGAACGAAUUCAAGAUAAAAUAAGUACUGCAACAAACAGCAGGCUAUUAAAUACCCUAAUAAUUGAAUAAGAUUCAAUAUCCAUUUCUUGAUAGGCAACUUAAAUAAAAUUUAAAAAAAAAAAAGCAUUCCAAAAUUAAGGUAACAAAUUCAAUUUAGCAGCGAAAAAGGUCAAAAUCAAAAUAUUUGUCUUAAUUCAGACAUCUAUUCAUUACUUUUCUAAAAUAAAAUUUACGUAAAAAUUACAAAAAAGGACUAUAACAGUUAAAAAGAUUACAAAAAAGGACUGUGAUUAAGAAAUACAUAUGAAACAUGGUAGUUUAAAAAAACACUGUUUGAGUUGGAAACAUUAACAGCGUAACAUAAAAUGGGACCACCAAGUAGAAAACAACAAACAAGCAACAAAUUAUUGAAAGCUACCCCUACACUAAGAUAUUAGUUAGGUCCAACUUGUAGUUCUUUAAAGGCAAUGUAAAUACAAAAAGAAAACAUUCAAAAAUUAAGUAAGAAACAAAAAUAUGACCUUUACAACGGGCAUCUGACCACCGAACAUAAGAACAGCACCCAUUUGAAGGAGGAUUCUGAAAGUGUCCCUUAUGUUAACAGCAUUGAAUUCCUUGAAACUCUCGGCACAGUCACCACCUUGUAGCAGAAACGCCUUCCCAAUUGCAGCCUCUCCAAGGCGCUCUUCAAGACUCCUCGCCUCACCAGCAAACACAAUAGGAGGGAAAUCUUCAAUGGUCUUUAGAACUGAUUCAAGAUCAUCUUUAUUUGGGUACUCUGGAAGCUGAAGUGCUCUCUUCGAUCUCCAGCUGUCAACUGACCAUUUUUUACAAACUUGGUCUGUUUUCGUCACCGCGACAGCAGCAGUGGAGGAGGUGGCUGCCGGCGGCGAAGGUUUAGGGGUCUUGUCGGAGGUAAUGGGGUUCUUGGAGGAGUCGGGAGAAUAGACGGCUGAGAUCGGUUGAGGAAAUUUAACGGGUUUGGUUGAGUUGGUGGGAAGGGCAUGUUUGGGAGAAGGUAAAAGAGGUUGAGUUUGAAUUAAGGAUUUAUUUGGUAGGAGGGAGUUGGUGCUGCUAGUU
This 19983-nucleotide long non-coding RNA is filed under the name Nicotiana tabacum (common tobacco). Its description in RNAcentral is "long non-coding RNA (NTAB_LNC001577)". The record is from RNAcentral. Lineage: Eukaryota; Viridiplantae; Streptophyta; Magnoliopsida; Solanales; Solanaceae.